Molecule: non-coding RNA, 346 nt
Organism: Biomphalaria pfeifferi
Lineage: Eukaryota; Metazoa; Mollusca; Gastropoda; Planorbidae
Source: the annotation of a GenBank genome assembly
CUUUGCUUGGGUCUUCCAACUUCAAAGUCCCGCCAGAUAUGGUAUAUCAAGUGAUCUUUUAUUUCCCUCAAUGACUAGCAUUCAACUGGUGAGGACAUUUGUGUCCCAACCUCUAUCCUCUCAAAGAAGUUAUCCUGUCCUGAUGCUCUUAACACCGCCCUAUUGUUCCAAAGGUAUCCCUUUUUUGAUAAUUCUACUGACAUUGGUUCCCUAUAUUGCUGUUUUUUUUAAUGAAAAGGUCAGGAAACUUGAUGUAUUGGCUGUAACCUGCAGCCUCUGUCACACACACACACAGAUUUUAAUAUCAAUGUCUGCUAUUACAUCAAUAAAAUUUGACUUUAUGAAA